This is a non-coding RNA of Oncorhynchus mykiss (rainbow trout), 1418 nucleotides long. NCBI's taxonomy places the organism in Eukaryota, Metazoa, Chordata, Actinopteri, Salmoniformes, Salmonidae. The record is from RefSeq and is a predicted model, not a curated record.
GUCAUUCCUGAGUUUUUGCGUUGCUGGGAUGGAUAUAAAACUACACUGCAUUACACACGGCAAUGGAUAGGCUAGCCCAAUCAUGAGCCCCGGCCUGCCCUGCUCUUGCUGAUGUAAACCCUUUUGUGCUGCCUAACCAAUGGCUGUGCUGUGUACGGUGACACUUCAGCAGGGGAGUCAAAGGCUUCUUCUGAAAAUAUUUGUUUAUUUGUCCAAAGAAUUCAAUAUCUGUGCGCGCGGACUAGGCCUACUGAUGUCCUGAUCAGUUCGAGAGAGAGCGCAAAGAUGAGGAGGAGGACCGGAGGCUACUUACAGCAAGAAAGGCUUUGUGUUGGAACCUAUUUCUUCCUAUUCAAGAAAGAACAGCUGCCUGAUAACCUCUUAAUGACGCUGAAGAGAAAAUGAACUCAGUACUUUGAGUGAGAUUCUUCAGCAGCAGGGAGCUCAGAUGAAAGAAGGCAGGGUUUUCUCUCUAUGGAUACCUUGUCUGUCUGCUCUGCUGCUCUGCUCAACACACAGUAGUCUACUCCCCAGCAGAAGAGUGGGCCUUGACUAUUCCGAUGACCGUCUCCUCCACCACAGGAAUGCAGCCUCCCCUUUCACCCAAAAUUAGGCAGCUGCCCACAGGAAAGGAUUCAGUCCAGAGGCACGGUGGAGCCCUGUUUUGCAGAGAGCAUGUGGCAAGCGUUUGGUGGCCACUGAUGGUUGUGACACAGAUAGAACCAUGAGACAGAUAUUUCACUGGAUGUAUAAAUGUGAAGCAUCCGGUUGGAGUUUUCACUCACUACCAGAUAUGGUAGUGAGAGGAAGCCUACUGCCGGGCAGUUGGAGAAGAUGAUAUGUGAGUAAUUUUUGACGAAAUUCUGCACAUUUUCUCAUCAAUUAAACAUUUGAUCUCAAUACAGUUUUUUGUUCCCAAAACUAUAAUCUGUUAUGAACAGAGUGGACUAAGUUUUGUAGACUUUACCCUUUGUAAAGGUUUUUAAAAAUUGCGCUGUUUAGAAGGAGUGCAAAGGCGAAUGGAGUUAUUGCACACGCGCACUUCACAGAGUAAGCGUUCCCUAACGGAAAUAUGUAAACGUAUACUAGAACGUGCCAAUAGGAUAUCACUAGCACGUGCUUGGCUUUGCCCACUAUGACCAAUUUGUUCCUAUUGGAAACGACAAGCUGUGGUUUAUCUUGGUUUAGUUAUAAAAAUCUUUGGACUGUUUGAAGAAAAUGGCCUCCUGGGCUGCACCUCUUCCUAUGCCCCUGUUGGUUUGUCUUUUUGGUUUGUUUGUGUAUUCAUUUUCUAAUGUAUUAUUUUUCUAAUGUGUUCUUCAGCCAGAGAAUGGCCAGUAACUGACAUGAGCAAAAGUACAUUUUGAAACGGUUGGAAACCAUGCCUUAUAUGUAUUUAUUAAAUCUUUGAAAAUGGC